RNAcentral lists this ribosomal RNA (407 nucleotides) under uncultured bacterium. Its description in RNAcentral is "partial 16S ribosomal RNA". It matches the Rfam family "Bacterial small subunit ribosomal RNA", at positions 30 to 526 of the family's 1533-position model. The record is from RNAcentral.
AUUGAACGCUGGCGGCAGGCCUAACACAUGCAAGUCGAGCGGAGCGGCGGGCGGGCGAGUAAUGCAUAGGAAUCUGCCUGCUAGUGGGGGAUAACGUCCGGCAACGAGCGCUAAGACAGCAUACUAUCAAACGAGCCUAGGUAGGAUUAGCUAGUGGGUGGGGUAAAGGCCUACCAAGGCGACGAACCGUAACUGGUCUGAGAGGAUGAUCAGUCACACUGGAACUGAGACACGGUCCAGACUCCUACGGGAGGCAGCAGUGGGGAAUAUUGGACAAUGGGCGAAAGCCUGAUCCAGCCAUGCCGCGUGUAUGAAGAAGGCCUUCGGGUUGUAAAGUACUUUCAGUCGGGAGGCGUUACUGACAGAAGAAGCACCGGCUAACUCCGUGCCAGCAGCCGCGGUAAUUC